RNAcentral lists this ribosomal RNA (486 nucleotides) under uncultured bacterium. RNAcentral describes it as "partial 16S ribosomal RNA". It matches the Rfam family "Bacterial small subunit ribosomal RNA", at positions 30 to 507 of the family's 1533-position model. The record is from RNAcentral.
AUUGAACGCUGGCGGCAUGCCUUACACAUGCAAGUCGAACGGCAGCACGGGUGCUUGCACCUGGUGGCGAGUGGCGCACGGGUGAGUAAUACAUCGGAACAUGUCCUGUAGUGGGGGAUAGCCCGUCGAAAGCCGGAUUAAUACCGCAUACGAUCUACGGAUGACAGCGGGGGACCUUCGGGCCUCGCGCUAUAGGGUUGGCCGAUGGCUGAUUAGCUAGUUGGUGGGGUAAAGGCCUACCAAGGCGACGAUCAGUAGCUGGUCUGAGAGGACGACCAGCCACACUGGGACUGAGACACGGCCCAGACUCCUACGGGAGGCAGCAGUGGGGAAUUUUGGACAAUGGGCGAAAGCCUGAUCCAGCAAUGCCGCGUGUGUGAAGAAGGCCUUCGGGUUGUAAAGCACUUUUGUCCGGAAAGAAAUCCUUGGCCCUAAUACGGGCGGGGGAUGACGGUACCGGAAGAAUAAGCACCGGCUAACUACGUG